UCGUGAAUUUUGGUUGCACAAAACCUGAGAAAUUCGAAGCGGAACCGAAUCAAACCGAGCGCGAGAGGCGGAGCGGCGGGGAGGCAGCAAUGGAGGCGCUGCUGGAGCUCGAGAGGGUGCAGAGGGUGCUCUCCCUCAUGAGUUCGCUCGGCCUCUGCGACGCCGGCUCCGGCGGCGGCGGCGCCGCCGCCGACCGCUUCCUCGCCCAGUUCCUCCUCUUCAUGGUGCGUUUCCCGGUGCAACCAUUUGAUUCUCUUAGCAUGGAGAAGAAGUUCCUAUUGGUCUCUGAGCUGUUAGGAAAGGCUACUCCUGAUACUCUGGAAGAGGUGCGGCAUCUAUCCCGUCUGGAAGCUGAUCAAGAUAUAUCUUCUGGAGCUUUACUCCAGCCAAAUAAGAAGUUCAAGAUGCAGGAUGACAAAUCAACCAUUCAGGCUGCGCCUAUGGUUGGUUUUGAUGCUAUGACAAGAGCCAAGUCUACACUUGAAGAUUUCUGCAGAUCGUACUUCAUGUUUCAUGGACUGGACGUUAACAAUCCACAAUUUGUUUUCAAGUAUCUACCUAUUCUUUCUUUCACAGAGAGCUACAUAUAUCAGUUAGAUGCUUCAAAUGAGGACUCUUUGGAUCUAGUCUCAGACGACAGCAGUUCUUCAAAAGCGUUGGAAAGGAAGAAAGAAGCUUUCGAUGAAACAUCCUUGUCUCAAAUGAUUGAACCCCUUAAUGGUCUUUUUCGGAGUCAGGGGUUAAUGACAGAUCGAUUGCGGACUGAACUCGAAUCAGGCAUUCAGUAUUGGUCUUUAGAGCGGAAGCUUUGUCAAGCAUUAUCAAGAAAUGAGAAGAUCUCAAUUGACGAUGUGAUGAAAGCAAUCCAUCUCAAAUCAUUUGAUUAUCGAGUUCUUAAUCUCUUGAUGUAUCAGCUAACUGGUCAGCAGGUCAAUGAAUUGCAUAUGGACUUCUUGUCAAUUUCUGAAUUUUUGGUUGAGAUAUCUGAUGACCUGUAUGAUUAUGAGGAUGAUGUGAUGAACAAUACUUUCAAUAUCCUCCGCAUGUAUGCUGCGAUAUAUGGACCUUCAGAGGCACCAAAUAUGCUGGCCAAGUGCAUAGGUGAGGCUGAAGAGAAGUAUGAGAGUUUCUCAAAGAAAUUGGACCCUAGUCUCUCAGGUAGUUACUGGAGAAGAUGUGAGGAAGCUACAAAGGAAGGUGGAAAAAUAUCAGGUCAUGCUUAUGGAACGUGGAAUAUCCGUCCUGUGAUAAGCGAUGAAGAAUCGUUCCGGCGUGAAAGAUCGAGCAAACAUGAUGCUUCUGUUGCGAUCAUUUGACGACAAUUUUUCAUGUUCCAAGCAUCUUCAAACUGAAGUUCAGUGUACACUGCUAGCUGUUGAGGGACCAGAGCAGCCGCGAUGGCCGCCGCCGACGAAGGGCACUCCAUCAAUGAUGAUCUUUGUAUGAUGGGGCUCCCUGGAGAUGACAAAGAGGAACUUGUGGCGGACUAGGAAGCCUUGUUCGGUCGUAGCGCCACCUCGCCAAUCAAUCUUGCUGCUGACAACGGCGACGGCGAUGGCGCGGGUGAUGCGGCUGGUGCUGGUGCCGAGCCCGACACCGUGACCACCGGCGCCAAGAGGAGGCGCCUGUGCACCUCUGAAGUCUGGAAUGAUUUCGACAAGGUCUACAAAAUUGUGGACGUGAAAUUGCGGAAGCCUGCACAACAACCCUUUACUGGUAGGAAGAAAACAGUCUGAGGUAAGAUUUUUGCAUUUGAUGGUGUUGGUGCUUCAAGUUCAAGUUCAUCUGGUAUGGAUUCUUGUAUUUCCUCCACCCCCACCCUCUCUAUCUAGAAGGACCUCACCAAGUGCCUUGCUGCAUGCAGCAAGCACUACUACUGGCCUUGGUAUUGGAUCUGAAUUGUCUUCAUAUUUAGAUAGUGACACUGUGGACCAAUAUGAUGAUGAUGAUUUCAACAUCUUAACCUGGUGGCAUGAGCACAAACUAACCUAUCCAGUGCUUUCAAUCUUAGCUAAGGAUAUUUUAAGUGUUCUUGUUUCUACCGUCUCUUCAGAAUCUGCAUUUAGUCUUACUGGCAGGAUCAUUGAAGAAAGGCGGCGUCAAUUGAACCCGGAGAUGGUGGAGAUGCUCACCUGCACCAAGGAUUGGGAAGCUGAUCAAGCAAGGACCCAACACUUAGUGGAGGACAAAGAUCUUGAAGCUUCGUUUAGAGAACUUUUUCUUGAUGGUCCAAAUUUGUAAUUGUAAUAUUGGGGUGUAACUAUACUGUAAUGUGGUUGAACUUGAACUAUUUGACUUGAUUUGGGCUGUACUCUUUUCCUAUCUAGGGUU
Molecule: RNA transcript, 2331 nt
Organism: Panicum hallii
Lineage: Eukaryota; Viridiplantae; Streptophyta; Magnoliopsida; Poales; Poaceae
Exons: 16
Source: RefSeq, a predicted model, not a curated record